AAUCAACGCUGGCGGCGUGCCUAACACAUGCAAGUCGAACGCGAAAGCCCCUUCGGGGGCAAGUAGAGUGGCGUCCGGGUGAGUAACACGUGGGUAAUCUACCUCCGGGUGGGGAAUAACUCGCCGAAAGGCGGGCUAAUACCGCAUAAUGCAGCGGCACCGAAUGGUGAUUAGUUGUUAAAGCGGGGGACCUUAGGGCCUCGCGUCUGGAGAGGAGCCUGCGGCAGAUUAGCUUGUUGGUAGGGAAUGGCCUACCAAGGCUGCGAUCUGUAGCUGGUCUGAGAGGACGGCCAGCCACACUGGCACUGACACACGGGCCAGACUCCUACGGGAGGCAGCAGUGGGGAAUUUUGGGCAAUGGGCGAAAGCCUGACCCAGCAACGCCGCGUGAAGGAGGAAAUCCUUCGGGAUGUAAACUUCACAAGCAAGGGAAGAGCGCGCAGGGUCGAAUAAACUCUGCGUCCGACGGUACCUUGCGUAAGCCACGGCUAACUACGU
Molecule: ribosomal RNA, 498 nt
Filed under: uncultured bacterium
Lineage: Bacteria
Description: bacterial SSU rRNA
Rfam family: Bacterial small subunit ribosomal RNA
Source: RNAcentral